UCUGCAACUCGACUACAUGAAGCUGGAAUCGCUAGUAAUCGCGGAUCAGAAUGCCGCGGUGAAUACGUUCCCGGGUCUUGUACACACCGCCCGUCACACCAUGGGAGUCGGAAAUGCCCGAAGUCUGUGACCGAACCGAAAGGAAGGAGCAGCCGAAGGCAGGUCGGAUGACUGGGGUGAAGUCGUAACAAGGUAAC
Molecule: ribosomal RNA, 197 nt
Filed under: uncultured bacterium
Lineage: Bacteria
Description: partial 16S ribosomal RNA
Rfam family: Bacterial small subunit ribosomal RNA
Source: RNAcentral